GAGGGGUGCAAACGUUAUUCGGAUUAACUGGGCGUAAAGGGUGUGUAGACGGCAUAUUAAGUUCGUUGUUAAAUCUUCCGGCCUAACCGGAAGCUCGCGAUGGAAACUGAUAUACUUGAGGAUGGAAGAGAGAAGUGGAAUUCUCGGAGUAGCGGUAAAAUGCGUAGAUCUCGAGAGGAACACCGAUGGCGAAGGCAGCUUCUUGGUCCACUCCUGACGUUGAGACACGAAAGCAUGGGUAGCAAACAGGGAUUAGAUACCCUGGUAGUCCAUGCUGUAAACGAUGAUCACUGGAUGUCAGCUUCGCUUUGCGAAGUUUGGUAUCGAAGCUAACGCGUUAAGUGAUCCCGCCUGGGAAGUACGGUCGCAAGAUUA
This 375-nucleotide ribosomal RNA is filed under the name uncultured organism. Its description in RNAcentral is "partial 16S ribosomal RNA". It matches the Rfam family "Bacterial small subunit ribosomal RNA", at positions 527 to 896 of the family's 1533-position model. The record is from RNAcentral.